Long non-coding RNA from Fukomys damarensis (Damara mole-rat), 360 nucleotides. RefSeq lists it as uncharacterized. NCBI's taxonomy places the organism in Eukaryota, Metazoa, Chordata, Mammalia, Rodentia, Bathyergidae. The record is from RefSeq and is a predicted model, not a curated record. The transcript has 2 exons.
UGUUCCUCCAUCAAGUUAAAGCUUGUUCUGUUGAAACAGAGCAUCCAGCUUAAUUCAAAAGAACUGGUCCCGAUGUCCACAUGACAGCAAGGUUUUGAAUGAUUGUAGGGCCCUAACUGCGUAUUUCAUUUUCUGCAGAAAGAUUACAGAAGAGAUCUGGAGACUGAAGUGAAAGGGAAAGGCAUGCAGGUCAGCGCGGACACUCUCGAUGUCCAGAGAGCUAAGCGCGCGUCCGAGAUGGCCAGCGAGAAACAAUAUAAGAAAGACUUAGAAAGUGAAAUUAAGGGGAAAGGAAUGCAGUUGAGCAUGGAUAUCCCAGGCGUGCUUCAAGCCAAGAGGGCAUCUGAAAUCUUCAGCCAG